RNAcentral lists this ribosomal RNA (1086 nucleotides) under Triticum aestivum (bread wheat). RNAcentral's name for it is "partial small subunit ribosomal RNA". The record is from RNAcentral. Lineage: Eukaryota; Viridiplantae; Streptophyta; Magnoliopsida; Poales; Poaceae.
AUGGUUCUUGGAGCGUUCUUCGCAACUGCAGCCUCGGUGCCAUGGAGGCGGAGCCUCCUCCUGCUCCCGACCCUUGUGCUCCUGUGGCAGCUCUGCCGGUUGCUGCACCGGCUGUGGUGGCGGCCGCGGUGCCUCGAGCGGGAGCUCCGGUCCAAGGGCCUCCGCGGCACGUCCUACCGCUUCCUCACCGGCGACCUCAGGGAGCAAGGCCGGCGGAACAAGGACGCCUGGUCGAGGCGGCUGCCGCUGCGGUGCCACGACAUCGCCCCUCGCGUGGCACCACUCCUCUGCGAUUCCGCCCGGGAGCACGGCAAGGUGAGCCUCUCGUGGUUCGGCCCGAUCCCCAAGGUAACCAUCGCCGACCCCGAGCUUGCCAAGAGCGUGCUGUCCGACAAGUCCGGGCACUUCGAGAAGCCCAAGUUCCCGGCGAUGUGGAAGCUGCUCGCCAAUGGCCUCUUGAACCACGAGGGCGAGAAGUGGGUCAAGCACCGGCGGCUCCUCAACCCUGCCUUCCAUCUGGAGAAGAUCAAGUGCAUGCUGCCAGAGUUUUCGGCGUGCUGUGAAGAGUUGGUGGGCAGAUGGACGGAGUCCGUCGGCUCCAGUGAAGGUACGCACGAGAUGGAUAUUUGGCCGGAGCUCAAAAACCUUGCCGGAGAUGUCAUUUCCCGCACCGCAUUCGGCAGCAGCUACCUUGAAGGAAUGAAGAUAUUUCAGCUGCAAACCGAGCAAGCAGAGCGCCUCAUCACAAACAUUCGGAGGAUUCUCAUUCCCGGCUACUUAUCUUUGCCAACCCCAAACAAUAAAAGGAUGCAUCAGGUUAAUAACGAGGUUGAAUCGAUUCUACGCGGUUUAAUUGCGAAAAAAACUAAAGCGAUAAAGGAAGGAGAAAGCACCAAAAACGACUUACUUGGCUUAUUGCUAGAGUCAAACAUGAGGCACACAGAUGACAAUGGUCAAUCCAGCAUGGGGAUGCCAAUUGAAGAUGUCAUCGAGGAGUGCAAGACGUUCUACUUUGCAGGAAUGGAGACAACAUCGGUACUACUCACGUGGACCAUGAUCGUUCUAAGCAUGCAUCCGAAGUGGUAA